UGGAGUGAUAUGAAGGUGUGUCCAUCCACAUGUAAAAGCACACCAGAGUCAGGAGUUACUGUUCAAGGGUUGAUAGAGGACAGGAACCCGAUUGGUUGAAAGGCGAGAAAGGAGAGACCAGAUAAGAGUGAGACAACCCUCGUGUCAUCACCAUAUGCAAAUGAGUAAAGGUCAUUAAAGCGCUGAGGGAAGGGGGUAAUCCGACAGAACUCUCGGAGGGACGCUGGACAGAACGGAGACACCGAGCCUGCAGUCAAAUAAAGAGGAAGCAAAGACGACAGGGAAGGUGUCAAGCGAGUGUAAUUAAGCUGGGUGUUAACACCUACUUCAAGGGGACUCGAAAACAAGUGACCUUAAGGAAUCAUCCGGAAAUUUCUCACACUAAGACUCCCGAGAUCUUAAAUUGUCUUCUGGACAGGAUAUCAUCAUAUACUGUAAGUUCAUUAUGGAGACACUACAGUAUAGAUGAUGUACUAUCCAGGGCGGCAUUCCUCCUCCUGUGGGAUAACACACACACACACACACACUGUCUCUGUGAAUGAGGGAGGCGGUUAAACCGUUACCAUUACUGAGUUUAGUAAUGGUAAGGGUUCUCUUGCCUUUUCUCACUGGCGUCGACCAUCAGAACCACCAAAUGGAAUUAACUUCAGUAUGAAUGUUUUCCUAAAUGUACUGCAUUGUACUAAUUUCUUCUUGAUUUCCUACAUAUAUAUUUAUUGCAAAACAACACGUCCUUAUAUAAUGACGAUAAAGUUAUCCCUGUUAAUCUAUGCCGGAAAUUAAGCAUUUAUAAAACUCUUUUGAUUUGCA
This is a long non-coding RNA of Hemibagrus wyckioides, 810 nucleotides long. RefSeq lists it as uncharacterized. The transcript is spliced from 2 exons. The record is from RefSeq and is a predicted model, not a curated record. NCBI's taxonomy places the organism in Eukaryota, Metazoa, Chordata, Actinopteri, Siluriformes, Bagridae.